CGGGCCUACCAAGGCGAUGAUGCAUAGCCGAGUUUGAGAGACUGAUCGGCCACAUUGGGACUGAGACACGGCCCAAACUCCUACGGGAGGCAGCAGUAGGGGAAUCUUCCACAAUGGACGCAAGUCUGAUGGAGCAACGCCGCGUGAGUGAAGAAGGGUUUCGGCUCGUAAAGCUCUGUUGUUGGUGAAGAAGGACAGGGGGUAGUAACUGUACCUUUUGUUUGACGGUAAUCAAUUAGAAAAGUCACGGGCUAACUACGUGCCCAGCAGCCGCGGGUAAAU
RNAcentral lists this ribosomal RNA (282 nucleotides) under uncultured Lactobacillus sp. RNAcentral describes it as "partial 16S ribosomal RNA". It matches the Rfam family "Bacterial small subunit ribosomal RNA", at positions 260 to 526 of the family's 1533-position model. The record is from RNAcentral. Lineage: Bacteria; Bacillati; Bacillota; Bacilli; Lactobacillales; Lactobacillaceae.